GGGACCAUCCUCCAAGGCUAAAUACUCCUGACUGACCGAUAGUGAACCAGUACCGUGAGGGAAAGGCGAAAAGAACCCCGGCGAGGGGAGUGAAAAAGAACCUGAAACCGUGUACGUACAAGCAGUGGGAGCACGCUUAGGCGUGUGACUGCGUACCUUUUGUAUAAUGGGUCAGCGACUUAUAUUCUGUAGCAAGGUUAACCGAAUAGGGGAGCCGAAGGGAAACCGAGUCUUAACUGGGCGUUAAGUUGCAGGGUAUAGACCCGAAACCCGGUGAUCUAGCCAUGGGCAGGUUGAAGGUUGGGUAACACUAACUGGAGGACCGAACCGACUAAUGUUGAAAAAUUAGCGGAUGACUUGUGGCUGGGGGUGAAAGGCCAAUCAAACCGGGAGAUAGCUGGUUCUCCCCGAAAGCUAUUUAGGUAGCGCCUCGUGAAUUCAUCUCCGGGGGUAGAGCACUGUUUCGGCAAGGGGGUCAUCCCGACUUACCAACCCGAUGCAAACUGCGAAUACCGGAGAAUGUUAUCACGGGAGACACACGGCGGGUGCUAACGUCCGUCGUGAAGAGGGAAACAACCCAGACCGCCAGCUAAGGUCCCAAAGUCAUGGUUAAGUGGGAAACGAUGUGGGAAGGCCCAGACAGCCAGGAUGUUGGCUUAGAAGCAGCCAUCAUUUAAAGAAAGCGUAAUAGCUCACUGGUCGAGUCGGCCUGCGCGGAAGAUGUAACGGGGCUAAACCAUGCACCGAAGCUGCGGCAGCGACGCUGA
This 767-nucleotide ribosomal RNA is filed under the name Escherichia coli. RNAcentral's name for it is "partial 23S ribosomal RNA". It matches the Rfam family "Bacterial large subunit ribosomal RNA", at positions 449 to 1217 of the family's 2925-position model. Lineage: Bacteria; Pseudomonadati; Pseudomonadota; Gammaproteobacteria; Enterobacterales; Enterobacteriaceae. The record is from RNAcentral.